AUCACUUCUCAGCCUUUUGGCUAAGAUCAAGUGCAGUAUUUGUUUUUAUCAGUUUAAAGCACAUAACUGGAAAAUCUCCAACAUCAGAAAUUAGGGGCUAAUGAUACAUAUGCAAAUAGAAAAAUGGAUACAAAUU
Molecule: small nuclear RNA, 136 nt
Organism: Papio anubis (olive baboon)
Lineage: Eukaryota; Metazoa; Chordata; Mammalia; Primates; Cercopithecidae
Gene: U2
Rfam family: U2 spliceosomal RNA
About the family: U2 is a small nuclear RNA (snRNA) component of the spliceosome (involved in pre-mRNA splicing).
Source: Ensembl